CGGGACGGGUGAGUAAUGGCUGGGAAACUGCCUGAUGGAGGGGGAUAACUACUGGAAACGGUAGCUAAUACCGCAUAACGUCGCAAGACCAAAGAGGGGGACCUUCGGGCCUCUUGCCAUCGGAUGUGCCCAGAUGGGAUUAGCUAGUAGGUGGGGUAACGGCUCACCUAGGCGACGAUCCCUAGCUGGUCUGAGAGGAUGACCAGCCACACUGGAACUGAGACACGGUCCAG
This 233-nucleotide ribosomal RNA is filed under the name uncultured bacterium. RNAcentral's name for it is "partial 16S ribosomal RNA". It matches the Rfam family "Bacterial small subunit ribosomal RNA", at positions 100 to 334 of the family's 1533-position model. The record is from RNAcentral.